UGUGUUUUUGUAGAGAAGGUUUCACCAUGUUAGGCUGGUUUACGUUUUCUUUUAGAAGUUUUAUAUUUUUGGCUCUUAUAUUUAGUUUGUGAUCCAUUGAGUUGAUUUUAUGUAUGUAUGUAUGGUCGCGUUUUCUUUCCUGUCUUUUUUGCAUAUGGAUAUUCAAUUCUUCUAGCUCCAUUUAAUUUGAAAUGAUUGGGCAGGUACCUUUGAGCAGUGCCAAGUACAGAGCGGCACUGCCAGCAGACUACACGCGGUAGAAAGCCGACCUUGGUGAGCGUGUUGGUGCUCGACAGUAAGCAGAGAAAGGAUGGACAAUUACGGAGCGCCGUCGUGUCCAGUCACCGCUUUCUGGAAACACCGUCCGCCGGGGCGGAGCUGUUCCGCACCGGGGCGGUACUACGACUCCCAGCAUGCACCUCGCAGCCGGCCCUCGGUGGAAGCGGGAAGCCAGGCGGACCUGGGGGUGUGGCAGCGAGGAAGGGUGGAGCCACGGACUGUAGGGCCGAAACUGGCUCCCGCCCACCCUUUCUCGAGGCUGUGGCCUCCGCGAGGGCCGAGCGGGCCGCACCGCCGGCCGUGCGACUGCCCCAGUCAGACACGGUCCCCGCUUCUAGCCCGCCUAAGCCUAUCUGGGGUUGCUGACUCGUUUCCUCCCCGAGUUUCCCGCGGGAACUAACUUAAAGAGGACCAACCGCAGCCCAGAGCUUCGCAGGCCCGGCCAACCAGAGGCGAGGUUGAGAGCCGGGCGGGCCGCGGGGAGAGAGUGUCCCAUCUGUCCUGGAAAGCCUGGGCGGGUGGAUUGGGACCCCGAGGGAAGCAGGGGAGCUCGGCGGGGUGCGGAAGUGCCCAGGCCCCUUCCCGCUGGGGUUGGGAGUUUGGGCGGGCCAGCUUCAUCCUUCCGAAGUCCGCCUCAGGUCUCCGGGCCCAGCCUCGGCCACCAUGUCCCGCCAGACCACCUCUGUGGGCUCCAGCUGCCUAGACCUGUGGAGGGAAAAGAAUGACCGGCUCGUUCGACAGGCCAAGGUAGCUCAGAACUCCGGUCUGAUUCUGAGGCGACAGCAGUUGGCUCAGGAUGCACUGGAAGGGCUCAGAGGGCUCCUCCAUAGUCUGCAAGGGCUCCCUGCAGCUGUUUCUGUUCUUCCCUUGGAGCUGACUGUCACCUGCAACUUCAUUAUCCUGAGAGCAAGCUUGGCCCAGGGUUUCACAGAGGAUCAGGCCCAGGAUAUCCAGCGGGGCCUAGAGAGAGUGCUGGAGACACAGGAGCAGCGGGGGCCCAGGUUGGAACAGGGACUCAGGGAGCUGUGGGACUCUGUCCUUCGUGCUUCCUGCCUUCUGCCGGAGCUGCUGUCUGCCCUGCACCGCCUGGCUGGUCUGCAGGCUGCCCUCUGGUUGAGCGCUGACCGUCUUGGGGACCUGGCCUUGUUGCUAGAGACCCUGAAUGGCAGCCAGAGUGGAGCCUCUGAGGAUCUGCUGUUACUUCUGAAAACUUGGAGUCCCCAAGCUGAGGAAUUAGAUGCUCCAUUGACCCUGCAGGAUGCCCAGGGAUUGAAGGAUGUCCUCUUAACAGCAUUUGCCUACCGCCAAGGUCUCCAGGAGCUGAUCACAGGGAACCCAGACAAGGCACUAAGCAGCCUUCAUGAAGUGGUCUCAGGCCUGUGUCCACGGCCUGUGUUGGUCCAGGUGUACACAGCACUGGGGUCCUGUCACCGUAAGAUGGGAAAUCCACAGAGAGCACUGUUGUACUUGGUUGCAGCCCUGAAAGAGGGAUCAGCCUGGGGUCCUCCACUUCUGGAGGCCUCUAGGCUCUAUCAGCAACUGGGGGACACAACAGCAGAGCUGGAGAGUCUGGAGCUGCUAGUUGAGGCCUUGAAUGUCCCCUGCAGUUCCAAAGCCCCACAGUUUCUCAUUGAGGUAGAAUUACUACUGCCACCACCUGACCUAGCCUCACCCCUUCAUUGUGGCACUCAGAGCCAGACCAAGCACAUACUAGCAAGCAGGUGCCUACAGACGGGGAGGACAGGAGACGCUGCAGAGCAUUACUUGGACCUGCUGGCCCUGUUGCUGGAUAGCUUGGAGCCAAGGUUCUCCCCACCCCCAUCCCCUCCAGGGCCCUGUAUGCCUGAGGUGUUUUUGGAGGCAGCGGUAGCACUGAUCCAGGCAGGCAGAGCCCAAGAUGCCUUGACUGUAUGUGAGGAGUUGCUGAGCCGCACAUCAUCUCUGCUACCCAAGAUGUCCCGGCUGUGGGAAGAUGCCAGAAAAGGAACCAAGGAACUGCCAUACUGCCCACUCUGGGUCUCUGCCACCCACCUGCUUCAGGGCCAGGCCUGGGUUCAACUGGGUGCCCAAAAAGUGGCAAUUAGUGAAUUUAGCAGGUGCCUCGAGCUGCUCUUCUGGGCCACACCUGAGGAAAAAGAACAAGGGGCAGCUUUCAACUGUGAGCAGGGAUGUAAGUCAGAUGUGGCACUGCAGCAGCUUCGGGCAGCCGCCCUAAUUAGUCGUGGACUGGAAUGGGUGGCCAGCGGCCAGGAUACCAAAGCCUUACAGGACUUCCUCCUCGGUGUGCAGAUGUGCCCAGACUCUGAAGAGGCUAGAUCGGAGGGAUGAGGCCACUGCACUCUGGUGGAGGCUGGAGGCCCAAACUAAGGGGCCACAGGAAGAUGCUAUGUGGUCUCUCCCCCUGUACCUAGAAAGCUAUUUGAGCUGGAUCCGUCCCUCUGAUCGUGACGCCUUCCUUGAAGAAUUUCGGACAUCUCUGCCAAAGUCUUGUGACCUGUAGCUGCCACGUUUCGAAGAGCUUGAGCUGGGACCCCAGUGGGCUGUCUCUCUAGGGGGAGGGCUUUCUGCUUCACCAUCAUUAGGAAUGUGACCAUUCCUAUAUAAUUCCUGGACUGGUGAGGUUGGUGGUAGGCCUGUGAAAUUUGCCCUAGUUACUACCAUUCUGGUUUUGGAGGAAACAAUCUCUGCCACCACCAAGUCAUUGACUUUGCUCGAGGCACCUUUUUUCCUGUUUCCCCUUUACUGUUGUCAAGUAAAAUUUCAUAUUUAUCUCU
Molecule: RNA transcript, 3053 nt
Organism: Nomascus leucogenys (northern white-cheeked gibbon)
Lineage: Eukaryota; Metazoa; Chordata; Mammalia; Primates; Hylobatidae
Gene: FANCG
Gene name: FA complementation group G
Source: RefSeq, a predicted model, not a curated record